GAAGGUUUUCGGAUCGUAAAACUCUGUUGUUAGAGAAGAACAAGGAUGAGAGUAGAACGUUCAUCCCUUGACGGUAUCUAACCAGAAAGCCACGGCUAACUACGUGCCAGCAGCCGCGGUAAUACGUAGGUGGCAAGCGUUGUCCGGAUUUAUUGGGCGUAAAGCGAGCGCAGGCGGUUUCUUAAGUCUGAUGUGAAAGCCCCCGGCUCAACCGGGGAGGGUCAUUGGAAACUGGGAGACUUGAGUGCAGAAGAGGAGAGUGGAAUUCCAUGUGUAGCGGUGAAAUGCGUAGAUAUAUGGAGGAACACCAGUGGCGAAGGCGGCUCUCUGGUCUGUAACUGACGCUGAGGCUCGAAAGCGUGGGGAGCGAACAGGAUUAGAUACCCUGGUAGUCCACGCCGUAAACGAUGAGUGCUAAGUGUUGGAGGGUUUCCGCCCUUCAGUGCUGCAGCAAACGCAUUAAGCACUCCGCCUGGGGAGUACGACCGCAAGGUUGAAACUCAAAGGAAUUGACGGGGGCCCGCACAAGCGGUGGAGCAUGUGGUUUAAUUCGAAGCAACGCGAAGAACCUUACCAGGUCUUGACAUCCUUUGACCACUCUAGAGAUAGAGCUUCCCCUUCGGGGGGCAAAGUGACAGGUGGUGCAUGGUUGUCGUCAGCUCGUGUCGUGAGAUGUUGGGUUAAGUCCCGCAACGAGCGCAACCCUUAUUGUUAGUUGCCAUCAUUUAGUUGGGCACUCUAGCGAGACUGCCGGUGACAAACCGGAGGAAGGUGGGGAUGACGUCAAAUCAUCAUGCCCCUUAUGACCUGGGCUACACACGUGCUACAAUGGGAAGUACAACGAGUUGCGAAGUCGCGAGGCUAAGCUAAUCUCUUAAAGCUUCUCUCAGUUCGGAUUGUAGGCUGCAACUCGCCUACAUGAAGCCGGAAUCGCUAGUAAUCGCGGAUCAGCACGCCGCGGUGAAUACGUUCCCGGGCCUUGUACACACCGCCCGUCACACCACGAGAGUUUGUAACACCCGAAGUCGGUGAGGUAACCUUUUUGGAGCCAGCCGCCUAAGGUGGGAUAGAUGAUUGGGGUGAAGUCGUAACAAGGUAGCCGUAUCGG
RNAcentral lists this ribosomal RNA (1108 nucleotides) under Enterococcus sp. Its description in RNAcentral is "bacterial SSU rRNA". It matches the Rfam family "Bacterial small subunit ribosomal RNA", at positions 410 to 1508 of the family's 1533-position model. The record is from RNAcentral. Lineage: Bacteria; Bacillati; Bacillota; Bacilli; Lactobacillales; Enterococcaceae.